RNAcentral lists this ribosomal RNA (553 nucleotides) under uncultured bacterium. RNAcentral's name for it is "partial 16S ribosomal RNA". It matches the Rfam family "Bacterial small subunit ribosomal RNA", at positions 355 to 900 of the family's 1533-position model. The record is from RNAcentral.
UAGGGAAUCUUCCACAAUGGACGCAAGUCUGAUGGAGCAACGCCGCGUGAGUGAAGAAGGUUUUCGGACCGUAAAGCUCUGUUGUUGGUGAAGAAGGAUAGAGGUAGUAACUGGCCUUUAUUUGACGGUAAUCAACCAGAAAGUCACGGCUAACUACGUGCCAGCAGCCGCGGUAAUCGUAGGUGGCAAGCGUUGUCCGGAUUUAUUGGGCGUAAAGCGAGCGCAGGCGGAAGAAUAAGUCUGAUGUGAAAGCCCUCGGCUUAACCGAGGAAUUGCAUCGGAAACUGUUUUCUUGAGUGCAGAAGAGGAGAGUAGAACUCCAUGUGUAGCGGUGGAAUGCGUAGAUAUAUGGAAGAAUACCAGUGGCGAGGGCGGCUCUCUGGUCUGCAACUGACGCUGAGGCUCGAAAGCAUGGGUAGCGAACAGGAUUAGAUACCCUGGUAGUCCAUGCCGUAAACGAUGAGUGCUAAGUGUUGGGAGGCUUCCGCCUCUCAGUGCUGCAGCUAACGCAUUAAGCACUCCGCCUGGGGGAGUACGACCGCAAGGUUGAAAC